CGGUAGCACAGAGAGCUUGCUCUCGGGUGACGAGCGGCGGACGGGUGAGUAAUGUCUGGGAAACUGCCUGAUGGAGGGGGAUAACUACUGGAAACGGUAGCUAAUACCGCAUAACGUCGCACGACCAAAGAGGGGGACCUUCGGGCCUCUUGCCAUCAGAUGUGCCCAGAUGGGAUUAGCUAGUACGUGGGGUAAUGGCUCACCUAGGCGACGAUCCCUAGCUGGUCUGAGAGGAUGACCAGCCACACUGGAACUGAGACACGGUCCAGACUCCUACGGGAGGCAGCAGUGGGGAAUAUUGCACAAUGGGCGCAAGCCUGAUGCAGCCAUGCCGCGUGUAUGAAGAAGGCCUUCGGGUUGUAAAGUACUUUCAGCGAGGAGGAAGGCAUUAAGGUUAAUAACCUUAGUGAUUGACGUUACUCGCAGAAGAAGCACCGGCUAACUCCGUGCCAGCAGCCGCGGUAAUACGGAGGGUGCAAGCGUUAAUCGGAAUUACUGGGCGUAAAGCGCACGCAGGCGGUCUGUCAAGUCGGAUGUGAAAUCCCCGGGCUCAACCUGGGAACUGCAUUCGAAACUGGCAGGCUAGAGUCUUGUAGAGGGGGGUAGAAUUCCAGGUGUAGCGGUGAAAUGCGUAGAGAUCUGGAGGAAUACCGGUGGCGAAUGCGGCCCCCUGGACCAAGACCGACGCUCACGUGCGAAAGCGUGUGGAGCAAACAGGAUUAGAUACCCUGGUAGUCCACGCCGUAUACGAUGUCGACUUGCAGGUUGUUCCCUUGAGGAGUGGCUUCCGGAGCUCACGCGUUAAGUCGACCGCCUGGGGAGUACGGCCGCAAGGUUAAAACUCAAAUGAAUUGACGGGGGCCCGCACAAGCGGUGGAGCAUGUGGUUUAAUUCGAUGCAACGCGAAGAACCUUACCUACUCUUGACAUCCACGGAAUUUAGCAGAGAUGCUUUAGUGCCUUCGGGAAACCGUGAGACAGGUGCUGCAUGGCUGUCGUCAGCUCGUGUUGUGAAAUGUUGGGUUAAGUCCCGCAACGAGCGCAACCCUUAUCCUUUGUUGCCAGCGGUUCGGCCGGGAACUCAAAGGAGACUGCCAGUGAUAAACUGGA
RNAcentral lists this ribosomal RNA (1109 nucleotides) under Lelliottia amnigena. Its description in RNAcentral is "bacterial SSU rRNA". It matches the Rfam family "Bacterial small subunit ribosomal RNA", at positions 67 to 1167 of the family's 1533-position model. The record is from RNAcentral. Lineage: Bacteria; Pseudomonadati; Pseudomonadota; Gammaproteobacteria; Enterobacterales; Enterobacteriaceae.